This 1917-nucleotide ribosomal RNA is filed under the name human gut metagenome. Its description in RNAcentral is "bacterial LSU rRNA". It matches the Rfam family "Bacterial large subunit ribosomal RNA", at positions 559 to 2495 of the family's 2925-position model. The record is from RNAcentral.
UAUGCCUACAAGAAGUCAGAGCCCGUUAAAGGGUGAUGGCGUGCCUUUUGUAGAAUGAACCGGCGAGUUACUGUAUGGAGCGAGGUUAAGCAGGAUAUGCGGAGCCGAAGCGAAAGCGAGUCUUAAGAGGGCGCGAGUUGCAUGCAGUAGACCCGAAACCGGGUGAUCUAGCCAUGACCAGGUUGAAGUUGGGGUAAAACCCGAUGGAGGACCGAACCGACCCCCGUUGAAACGUUGGCGGAUGAGUUGUGGCUAGGGGUGAAAUUCCAAUCGAACCCGGAGAUAGCUGGUUCUCCCCGAAAUAGCUUUAGGGCUAGCGUCGAGAGAAGAGUUGCGUGAAGGUAGAGCACUGAAUAUGUGAUGGCCCCAUCUCGGGGUACUGAGCAUAAUCAAACUGCGAAUGUCACGCCAACAUGCUCGGCAGUCAGACAGCGGGUGAUAAGGUCCGUUGUCAAGAGGGAAACAGCCCAGACCAUCAGCUAAGGUCCCAAAAUGUAUGCUAAGUGGAAAAGGAUGUGGAGAUGUACAGACAACUAGGAGGUUGGCUCAGAAGCAGCCAUCCUUUAAAGAGUGCGUAACAGCUCACUAGUCGAAUGACUCUGCGCCGAUAAUUUACCGGGGCUAAGCAUACUACCGAAGCUAUGGAUCCCAAGGGAUGGUAGGGGAGCGUUCCAUGAACGGAGAAGUACGACCGAAAGGACGUGUGGAGAUCAUGGAAGAGAGAAUGCCGGUGUGAGUAGCGGAACGUGGGUGAGAAUCCCACGCACCGAAAACCCAAGGUUUCCAGAGGAAGGUUCGUCCGCUCUGGGUAAGUCGGGACCUAAGGCGAGGCCGAAAGGCGUAGUCGAUGGACAACAGGUAGAGAUUCCUGUACCCGUAUAUAUGUGAAGGAAUGACGGAGAGAGGAAGCUGCAGCCAGCGGCUGGAAGAGCUGGUGCAAGCGAGAUAUCGGGAUGGCAGGCAAAUCCACCAUCCGAAACGAGAAGGCGUGAAGCGUACGGAAAGCUACGGCGAGUACGGAAGGCAGUGGAGGAACUUCCAAGAAAAGUUUCUAACGUUAAGUAUAUAUGGCCCGUACCGAAAAUGGACACACAUGGGUGAGGAGAGAAUCCUAAGGUGAGCGAGAGAACUAUAGCUAAGGAACUCUGCAAAAUGACUCCGUAACUUAGGGAGAAGGAGUGCUCAUAGAGAUAUGAGCCGCAGUGAAACGGCCCAAGCGACUGUUUACCAAAAACACAGCUCUCUGCUAAGCCGCAAGGCGAAGUAUAGGGGGUGACGCCUGCCCGGUGCUGGAAGGUUAAGGGGAGGGGUUAACGCAAGUGAAGCCCUGAACUGAAGCCCCAGUAAACGGCGGCCGUAACUAUAACGGUCCUAAGGUAGCGAAAUUCCUUGUCAGGUAAGUUCUGACCCGCACGAAAGGCGUAACGAUUUGGGCGCUGUCUCAGCUGUAGACUCGGUGAAGUCUUAGUACCUGUGAAGAUGCAGGUUACCCGCGACUAGACGGAAAGACCCCAUGGAGCUUCACUGCAGGUUGAUAUUGGGAUUUGAUGCAGCAUGUACAGGAUAGGUAGGAGGCAAAGAGAUGGAUACGCCAGUAUUCAAGGAGCCGCUGUUGGGAUACUACCCCUGUUGUAUUGGAUUUCUAACCGGACGACGUAGAGCCGUUGACGGGACAGUGUCAGUCGGGCAGUUUGACUGGGGCGGUCGCCUCCCAAAGAGUAACGGAGGCGCCCAAAGAUACCCUCAGCUUGGAUGGAAACCAAGCGCAGAGUGCAAAGGCAAAAGGGUGUUUGACUGCGAGACCCACAAGUCGAGCAGGGACGAAAGUCGGGCUUAGUGAUCCGGCGGUGCUGAAUGGAAAGGCCGUCGCUCAACGGAUAAAAGCUACCCUGGGGAUAACAGGCUGAUCUCCCCCAA